AUCACUUUUCAGUCUUUUGCUAAGAUAAAGUGUAGUAUGUUUUCUUAUCAGUUUAAUAUCUGAUACAUCCUCUAUUUUAAGACAAUAUAUUAAAAGGAGUUUUGCAGGAGAGAAAUGAAAUAUGACCUUGAUUUAAACACUCCAUACACUCUUUGCAUUUGCCCUGGAAUUGCAGUAUCUCUGUUACAGAAAAUUUGAG
This 199-nucleotide small nuclear RNA is filed under the name Castor canadensis (American beaver). RNAcentral describes it as "U2 spliceosomal RNA (ENSCCNG00000003496.1)". It matches the Rfam family "U2 spliceosomal RNA". From Rfam's summary of the family: U2 is a small nuclear RNA (snRNA) component of the spliceosome (involved in pre-mRNA splicing). The record is from Rfam by way of RNAcentral. Lineage: Eukaryota; Metazoa; Chordata; Mammalia; Rodentia; Castoridae.